CUCACUACGGUGACAUCCGAUAAAAUUGAAACGAUAUAGAGAAGAUUAACAUGGCCUCUGUGCAAAGAUGACAUGCACAAAUCAAGAAAUGGUAUCAGAGACA
Molecule: small nuclear RNA, 103 nt
Organism: Cucurbita pepo subsp. pepo (vegetable marrow)
Lineage: Eukaryota; Viridiplantae; Streptophyta; Magnoliopsida; Cucurbitales; Cucurbitaceae
Source: RefSeq, a predicted model, not a curated record